Molecule: non-coding RNA, 801 nt
Organism: Camellia sinensis
Lineage: Eukaryota; Viridiplantae; Streptophyta; Magnoliopsida; Ericales; Theaceae
Source: RefSeq, a predicted model, not a curated record
UGCUAGCUUGUCCCCCGUCUCUCUCUCUCUCGCACGAGCGCACGCGUGUUCGCACGCUCAUUGCAGCACCGUCUCCAUAUCCAUCAUCUCCCUUUCCCUGUCUCAUUCAGAGAUUCCACCAAUGGAGCACCCUGCCCCGGUACUUUCUCUCCGUCUCCCUCGCUGUCUUUUUCCCCAAUUCGCUGUAGGAUUUUUGUUCUUUGAUUUUGAUUCUCAGUCUGGUACUCUGUUUGUUGAUGGUGAUUGAGAUUAUCUUGGGGCGUAUCUUUGAGAGGAAGAACUCGGAAUAUGAUUUUUGUUUCACCGAUUCUUAAAACGUUGAUUCGAACUUCAGAUUGAAAGGCUUCCUUCAUGUGAUGUGAUGUGGCUUCCAAGCGUGAUCACCUUUAUUGGGCUAAUGCUACUAGUUGGACCAAGCCUUGGUGCAGCGGUUGCAAUUGAUUUUGCUGUCAAUCAUUCAGAAAUUGUGGGUCAUCUACAUUGCCUAUUGCCUUGGUGGGAGGAUGUUACUGUGACUUUUAUGAAUAGUGGAGGUUAUAAUGUGUGCUCCCAGAUAAAACAUGUAAGUUAGAAAUUGUUUUGCUAUUCUAACCAAGAACUAUUGAUUGUCUUGUUCAAAAAAUAUAAUUGUGGUUGGUAGUUGUGUAUAUUUAGGCUAUGUUUAAAUGGAUCGUGUUUGUUGGUGCAGCCUUGAGUUGCAAUUUUUAUAUUAUUCCUUGCAGAGAAAAUAUCUUAGACAUAUAUGUGGAAGGCAUUGAAAUUUGAAAUGAGUAUGUGGGAAGCCCUUGAUUAAGUGUUCCA